This 31903-nucleotide long non-coding RNA is filed under the name Prunus persica (peach). Its description in RNAcentral is "long non-coding RNA (PPER_LNC002721)". The record is from RNAcentral. Lineage: Eukaryota; Viridiplantae; Streptophyta; Magnoliopsida; Rosales; Rosaceae.
GAACAGCUGAAGCACUUAUCCCACUCCUCCAGUUAUCUGACUCACCGAGAAUUGUUAAUGUUUCGUCUGGCUCGGGGAAGUUAAAGAAGAUACCAAGUGAUUGGGCUAAAGGAGUUUUUACUGAUGCCGAAAACCUAACAGAAGAGAGAGUAGAUAAGGUACUGACUGAGCUUCUAAAAGAUUUCAAGGAGGGUUCACUUGAAAGUAAGGGCUGGCCUUCUUCUAUGCCUGCCUAUAUAGUCUCAAAAGCAGCACUGAACGCAUAUACAAGGAUUCUAGGAAAGAAGUACCCCACUUUUCGUAUCAAUUCAGUCUGCCCUGGCUUUGUCAAAACAGAUAUAAACUUCAAUGCCGGCGUCUUGCCUGUCGAAGAGGGUGGUGCCAGGAUUGUAAAGUUAGCAUUGCUGCCCAAUGAUGGCCCUACUGGCUCCUUCUUUGUUCACGAUGAAGUGUCAGAUUUUUGAUUGAAGAUGAUCCAUUUAUGCAAAUUUAAUACGAGUCAUUUAUUGGGCAACAUUUGGUACUGUAAUGUAAUUUUAAGUAUUUUGGUAUGUAUAUUGAUUGAAGGAUCUAGUGCAUUGUUUACAUUUCUACUAUUCAUCUGGCUCUUGGACUCAUAUUAUCAUUUACAAUGUUAUUCAGUCAGAAAUUCUAUGUGAUCGAUGUCCGGUAUUAUCGAUAGUAUAUCAAUAACAUUUCGGUAUAUUUUGUUAGACUUAAGUUAGAGACAAUAAUAUUGACAGUCCAUCAUUUAAUUAAGGACGAAGUUUUGAGAAGAAUUGAUUAUUCAAUAUUAUCCAACUUAAAUUGUAAUAGCACAAUCGCAAACUUCUGCAGUCAAUUGUGUAAACGAAGGCAUAGGAUUGGAAACUGUCAGGCAGUUGGCCUCAAAAGGAUUCACUGUAGUCUUAACUGCCAGAGAUGAGAAGAGGGGUCUUGAAGUUGUUGGGAAACUCAAAGAGUCUGGCUCCUCAGGUCAAGUGAUUUUUCAUUAGCUUGAUGUGGCUAACCCAGUAACACAGGAGAAGGUUAAUGUUAAAUUGAGUGGCUGAUAUAUAUCAUGCUUAUUGUGUCCACUUCCAGUUGUGUACACGUACCAAGUACCCUAGAAAGAUCAGUGGCUGGAAUUAAGACCCACAUUCAGAGGACUCUCACCCUUAUUUAAGUGUGCUACCGGUGCGGCAGUUUUAUCGAAGAUUUUUUCCUAUCAAAAGGUGAAAGUUGUCACAAGUAAAUUAAUAUCCAUGUUUCUACUAGGAUAUAUUAGUCAAUUAGAAAUUUUCUGCGCAAGUUGAAAAGUCUUGCAUGCGAAACUGCUUGCCACUGCCACCACCAAAAUUCAACAACGUGAGCACUUGCGUCACCACUACCCCAUUAUUUUCCUUUAAAAUCUUCACAACAAAAUUCCAAACAAGUCUUGGUCCCUCUUUCACCACAAUAUCCAAUUACUGCUAGAAAACACUAGAAGCAUCCUCCCUCCAGUAUGUAAUAGGAACAACAGAACCAACAAUUUUCAUCUUCUUCUUAAUAUUUAUCUUAAUAUAAUCCCCAGAAUUCAAAGGCUUUUCAAGAACAUUUCACUAUAAAAGAGAAGAAGGCUGUUGCUGUUUAAUACACAUCUCAAUUUUCCCAGACCGUCCCGUUUCGAAUCUAUCAAUGGCAGAAGUAACAAAGAGGUAGCACUUUAAAGUACUGCUUUCAUAACAAUUUCUCACUAUUUUUGUGUUCUGAAUUUGGUGUUUUUUGUUUUCUCAGGUAUGCAAUUGUUACUGGAGCAAACAAAGGCGUAGGAUUGGAAACUGUCAGGCAGUUGGCCUCAAAUGGAUUUAUUGUAGUCUUGACUGCCAGAGAUGGCAAGAGGGGUCUUGAAGCUGUUGAGAAACUCAAAGAGUCUGGCCUCUCUGGUCAAGUGGUUUUUCAUCAACUUGAUGUAGCUAACCCUGCUAGUGUUGCUUCCUUGGCAGACUUCAUCAAAACCCAGUUUGGGAAACUGGAUAUCUUGGUAUGUAUAUGAUCAUAGCUGCAGGUUUCUUGAAAAAGUUUCUGUCUUUUGAAUCCAACUCUUAAUCCAAAUGCGAUUUUGUUGACGGAAUUGGAGAAUAAAAAUAGCAAACCAUCUACAUUUGUUUCUUGGAAUCCUUUCAUAUAUGAUGUGAUCCCUUUCUGUACAAUUUACAAGUACCCUAUAAAGAUCAGUGGCUGGAGUUAAGGGGUUUGGAAAAGUAGCAUGGUUGGUUUGGUUGUAAAACAAAGAGAUUAUCCAAGUAAUCAGAGGAUCUAUCAACUUUCUUUUCAUUUCAUUUUCUAUAGAAAAAAAUUAUGUUCUUUUCUUUGCUAAAAGAAAACAGAUAGUGAAACAGUUGGACUCUGCACAGGUGAACAAUGCAGGAAUUUUUGGAAGCAUAAUAGAUGUUGAUGCUUCUAAAGCUGCUGUAGCCUCUGGUGCCAUGGUAAGUCUUUUGCAUAAUUUUAUCAAUAGCUAUCAAAAACUAAAAGCUUCAAUCUAUAUGCCAAAGUGAGAAUUUAAAAUGAUUUGUGGUUUGGCAAACUUUAAUCAACAUUUUUCUUGUUUGGAGUGUUGUGCAAGUGGUGGGCAAUAGGCACCAUAAUAAUAAGUUUGCUUUUGCUGAUACAGGCAAGAGGAGAAGUUGAUUUGAGUAAACUAGUGACUGAAACUUAUGAGUUAACAGAAGAAUGCUUGCAAAUAAACUAUUAUGGUGCUAAAAGAACAGCUGAAGCACUUAUCCCACUCCUCCAGUUUUCUGACUCACCGAGAAUUGUUAAUGUUUCUGCUGGCUUGGGGAUGUUAAACAACAUACCAAGCGAUUGGGCUAGAGGAGUUUUUACUGAUGCCGAAAACCUAACAGAAGAGAGAGUAGAUGAGGUACUGACUGAGCUUCUAAAAGAUUUCAAGGAGGGUUCACUUGAAAGUAAGGGCUGGCCUUCUUCUAUGCCUGCCUAUAUAGUCUCAAAAGCAGCACUGAACGCAUAUACAAGGAUUCUAGCAAAGAAGUACCCCAAUUUUCGUAUCAAUUCAGUCUGCCCUGGCUAUGUCAAAACAGAUAUGAACUUCAAUGCCGGCCUCUUGCCUGUCGAAGAAGGUGGUGCCAGGGUUGUGAAGUUAGCAUUGCUGCCCAAUGAUGGCCCUACUGGCUCCUUCUUUGUUCAGAAUGAAGUGUCGGAUCUUUGAUUGAAGAUGAUCCAUUCAUGCAUAUUUAAUACAUGUCACCUAUUGGGCAACUUCUUGUACUGUAAUGUAAUUUUAAGUAUUUUGGACACCAGCAGAUUCUUUUUUGGUUCUUUCUACAUUCAAUACGAGGAUGGCAUGUAUAUGAUGCUUUUUAUCUAGGUAAAAUUUCACCAAAGCACAAUGUUUAAAUAACAAAAGAAACUGCACCCCAAAAAAGAAUAGAAAAGUUCAGGUGUUUCUGGCCUCACAGGAAGCUCUCAGCUGACUUGACCUUCCCCUUUGGUUUUUGGGGAAAGACUUAGCUGUCCUGGGGUGACUACUCCUUGUUCCUUCCUAUAGAAUCUUGUGAUGUAUGCAAGUUUCUUGCGUUUAGAGAGGAGAGACAACACUCCCAAAUAAAGGCCGAAAAAGUCACAUUUGUUAUAAAACUAAAGAAAUUGAAGAGAGAAUUUAGAGAAUUCAAAUAGCGACAGGAAUGCUCUUCCGUUAUUUUCAUUGAGAUUUUCUUCUAUAUCUACAAAUGAGAAUGAAGCUAUAGUUUUAUAGGCAAAGCCUUGGCUAACAAUUCGGUAAAUAGAAGACUCCAAGAAGGUGUAUGGAGAUUCCCUUCCAACAUGUGGGCUUCACUUUAUCAUCUUACAACAACAUUAGGGGGUCUCACCCUUUUUUGAGUGUGCUACCAGUCAUUAUGAGAUCCAUGUUUCAACAUGAUAUUAUUAUUUACCUUACCAGUCAAUCAGAAAAAGUAAGUAGGGUCUACACAAAAUUAGAAAUUGAAUUCUUGAUUUGAGGGGAAUUCAAUUUUUGAGUGGGAUGUGGUAUUUUAAUUUCAGGAGAACUAACUUAUUAGAAAUUCAUCUUUUUUACUCAUUAUAUCUUCAUACAAUUUUAAAAUUUCCAAAUUUGUUAUCUAUUUUAACUCGACAAUGAGGACAUUUUAGUAAUUAGUACAACUCCUACCUCAAUUUCAUAUGGUUUAGUAAACAACUUUAAUAGGAAUUUGGAAUCUAACUCUCCUCAAUCCAUAUAAUUUAGCAAACAACUUCAAUAAGAAUACGGAUUCUAAUUCUCCUUAAUCUAACUCAUCCUCAAUUCAAUUCCUCUUAAUCCGUACUCACCACCCCCAUUCUUUUCCUUCUAGAAAACGUUAGAAGCAUCCUCAAUCCAGUAUUUAUAUAGGAACAAACGAAUCAAAAAAUUUCUUCUUCUCAUUAUUAUUUAUUUGAAUAUAGACCUCAAAAUUCAAAGGCUUUCCAAGAACAUUACACUAUAAAACAAAAGAAGGCUCCUUCCUUAUUUUUAAUUAAUCUCAAUUCUCACAGACCGUCCCGUUUCGAAUAUAUCAAUGGCAGAAGCAACAAAGAGGUAGCACUUUAAAGUCCUUUAUGCUUUGAAGUACUGCUUCCAUAACAAUUUCUCACUAUUUUUUGUGUUAUGAAUUUGGUGUUUGUGUUUUCUCAGGUAUGCAGUUGUUACUGGAGCAAACAAAGGCAUAGGAUUGGAAACUGUGAGGCAAUUGGCCUCAAAUGGAUUCACUGUAGUCUUAACUGCCAGAGAUGAGAAAAGGGGUCUUGAAGCUGUUGAGAAACUCAAAGAAUCUGGCCUCUCACGUCAAGUGGUUUUUCAUCAACUUGAUGUGGCUAACCCUGCUACUGUUGCUUCCUUGGCAGAGUUCAUCAAAACCCAGUUUGGAAAACUCGAUAUCUUGGUAUGUGUAUGAUCAUAGCUGCAGGUUUCUUGAAAAAGUUUCUGUCUUUUGAAAUAAUUAUGUCUUAGGCGUACACAAUAUCCACACAGGUGAAGGUUAUAUUAGAGACUGUAAAAUUGAGUGGCUGAUCCAUAUAUUGCUUGCUUAUUGUGACCACUUCCAGUCGUGGAAGAUUUUACUAUCAAAUCUGACUCUAUGUCUGUCACAUUGUUUUUUCGGUUUUUUUUUGGUGUGGAAUUCUUUCCAUAUAUAUGCUAUAUGAUCCCUCUCUGAACAAUUUACAAGUACCCUAGAAAGAUCAGUGGCUGGAGUUAAGGGGUUUGGGAAAGGCAUAAUUGUUGGCCCUUGUGGUUGGUUUGGUUGUAACAACAAAAGAGAUUUAUCCAAGUAAUCAGAGGAUCUACCUUCUUCCAAUUAAUUUCAAUUUCUAGAAAAAAUUUCAGUUCUUUUCUUUGCUAAAAGAACCCAAAUAGUGAAACAGUUGGACUCUGCACAGGUGAACAAUGCAGGGAUUAGUGGACGCCAAGUAGACGGUGAUGCUCUUAAAGCUGUAGUAGACUCUGGUGCCAUGGUAAGUCUUUUGGAUAAUUUUUAUCAAUAGCUAUCAAAAACUAAAAGCUUCAAUGUAUGUGCUUAAUAUGAAUGUAAGUUCUCAUGAUGUCUUCCUCUGUCUUGAAAUAUUUUCAUUGUGAUGUGCAUGUCAAACUUUGAUCACCAUUUUUCUUGUUUGGGAUGGUUGUAAGUGGUUGGCAAUAGCCACCAUAAUAAGUUUGUUCUUACUGAUGCAGGAAAGAGGAGAAGUUGAUUGGAGUAAAUUAAAGAUAGAAACUUAUGAGUUGGCAGAAGAAUGCUUGCAAAUAAACUACUAUGGUGCUAAAAAAACGGCUGAAGCACUUAUCCCACUCCUCCAGUUAUCUGACUCACCGAGAAUUGUUAAUGUUUCCUCUUCCUUGGGGAAGUUAAAGAACAUACCUAGUGAUUGGGCUAAAGGAGUUUUUACUGAUGCUGAUAACCUAACAGAAGAGGGAGUAGUUGAGGUACUGACUGAGCUUCUAAAAGCCUUCAAGGAGGGUUCACUUGAAAGUAAGGGCUGGCCUUCUUCUUUGUCUGCCUAUAUAGUCUCAAAAGCUGCACUAAACGCUUAUACAAGGAUUCUAGCAAAGAAGUACCCCGAUAUUCGUAUCAAUUCGGUAUGCCCCGGCUUUGUCAAAACAGAUCUAAACUCCAAUGCCGGCGUCUUGCCUGUCGAAGAAGGUGGUGCCAGGGUUGUGAGUAUAGCAUUGCUGCCCAAUGAUGGCCCUUCUGGUUCCUUCUUUGUUCAGUAUGAAGUGUCAGAUCUUUGAUUGAAGAUGAUCCAUUUAUGCAAAUUUAAUACAUGUCACUUGUUGGGCAGCAUCUUGAACUUUGAUGUAAUUUAAGUAUAUUUGGAACCAGCAGCGGAUCCUUUUUAUGUUCUUUCUACAUUCAAUAAGAGGAUGGCAUAUAUGAUGCUUAUUGUUGUAGCCAUAUUUAAUUGUGCAACAUUCUCUAUCUAAUAGUCCUCUAUGAUUGCAUCUUUAUGAAAUUAUCUCCCACAUCUGGAAUUGAUUGAAGCAUCUGGUGCAUUGUUUGUUUACAUUUCUACUAUUCAUCUGCCUCUUGAACUCAUGUUAUCAUUUGCAUUGUUAUUCAGUCAGAAAUUCUAUGUGAUUCAUGUUCAUCCUUUGAUCGAUAUUAUUGAUGGUAUAUUGAUAACAUUUAGGUAUAUUUUGUGACAUAUGUCAGAGAAUAAUAUUGACACCUUCUGCAGUCAAUUGUUUAAAAAAACAAAAAGACAACAUAGGUCUCGUUAACAAUUAUGUAAUUUUGGAGCGGUUAAAUUCACCAAUCUUGCCGACGAAACUGCUUCAGCCUUGGCAUGUGGUUGAUGGUUGAGUUAAGCUCUCUCUGCUCUGCCACCACCACCAAAAUGCUUAAACAAUGGGAGCACUUGCGUCACCACCCCCAUUCUUUUCCUUAAUUCUUAAAAGAAAAAUCCAAACAAAUGUUGUUUUCCCAUCAGAUUACUUCUAGGAAACAUUCGACGCAAGCAUCCUCCCUCCAGUAUAGGAACAAACGAGUCUUAACAAUUUUCUUGCUCUUAUUAUUAUUUAUUUGAAUAUCAAACUUGAAAUGUGCAAAGGUUUUCCCACAGACAGACGAUCCCAUAAACGAAUCAGCAAUGGCAGAAGCAAGAAAGAGGUGGCACCUUAGAGUCCAUACCCUUUGAUUACUUCUAUAACAAUUUCUCACUCUUGUUUUUGUUUCCUUUUUGCUUUCCUAUUUUUGUUAUGAAAUUGGUGUUUCUUCUUUUGUUUUUCCAGGUAUGCAGUUGUUACUGGGGCAAACAAAGGCAUAGGAUUGGAAACUGUCAGGCAGUUGGCCUCAAAAGGAUUCACUGUAGUCUUAACUGCCAGAGAUGAGAAGAGGGGUCUUGAAGCUGUUGAGAAAUUCAAAGAAUCUGGCCUCUCAGGUCAAGUGGUUUUUCAUCAACUUGAUGUGGCUAACCCUGCUAGUCUUGCUCCUUUGGCAGACUUCAUCAAAACCCAGUUUGGGAAACUCGAUAUCUUGGUAUGUAUGAUCAUAGCUACAGGGUUAAUGUAAAAUUGAGUGAUCUAUAUCAUGCUUAUUGUGUCCACUUCCAGUUGUGGAAGAUUUUACUUUGAAGUCUAAAUCUAACUCUAACUAUAUGAAAGAUCAGUGACUGGAAUUAAGUGGUGUGACAAAGUAGCAUACUUAUUGGCCUUCUUUGAAGAGCACUGGUUGGUUAUAGCAGAUAGUUUAUCCAAGUAAUCAAAGCAUCUACCAACUUUCUUUUAAUUCCAUCUUGUAGAUGUUUUUUUCUUUGCUUUUGUUUGCAAAAGUAAAACAAGUAGUGAAACAGUUGGACUCUGCACAGGUGAACAAUGCAGGGAUUGGUGGAAGCACAGCGGAUCCUGAUGCCUUUAGAGCUGUAGUAGAGUCUGGUGCCUUUGUAAGUCUUUCAGAUAAUUCUUAUCAAUAGCUACCAAAAACUUAAAGCUUUAAUGUAUGUGUUUAAUGUGAAAAUUUAAAUUGAUCUGUGGUUUGGCUUAAUGCUAUGGCAAUUAGUAGGGGAAAUGAUCUGUGUAACAUCACCAGGCUGGUAUGAUUCGGGUGGGUGUGUAAGUAGUUGGCAAUAGCCACCGUAAUAAGUUUGUUCUUACUGAUGCAGGGAAGAGGAGAAGUUGAUUGGAGUAAACUAAGUACUGAAACUUAUGAGUUGGCAGAAGAAUGCUUGCAGAUAAACUAUUAUGGUGCUAAAAGAACAGCUGAAGCACUUAUCCCACUCCUCCAGUUAUCCGAUUCACCGAGAAUUGUUAAUGUUUCGUCUUUCAUGGGGAAGUUAAACAACAUACCGAGCGGUUGGGCUAAAGUAGUUUUUACUGAUGCAGAAAACCUAACAGAAGAGAGACUAGAUGAGGUACUGACUGAGCUUUUAAAAGCCUUCAAGGAGGGUUCACUUGAAAGUAAGGGCUUUCCUUCUUCUUUGUCAGCCUAUAUAGUCUCAAAAGCUGCACUGAACGCAUAUACUAGGAUUCUAGCAAAGAAGUACCCCACUUUUCGUAUCAAUUCGUUAUGCCCUGGCUUUGUCAAAACAGAUAUAAACUACAAUGUCGGUGUCCUACCUGUCGAAGAAGGGGCUGCAAGGGUUAUGAAGUUAGCAUUGCUGCCCAAUGAUGGCCCUUCUGGCUCCUUCUUUGUUGAGUACGAAGUGUCAGAUUUUUAAUUGAAGAUGAUCCGUUUAUGCAAAUUAAAUACAUGUCAUUUAUUUGGCAGGAUCUUGAAUUUUUAAUGUAACAAAGUGUAUUUGGACCCAGCACCAGAUCCCUUUUAAGUUCUUUCUACAUUCAAUAUGACUCGAGGACAACAUACAAUAGUCUUGUAUGAUUGCAUCUUUGUGAAAUUAUCUUCCACAUAUGGAAUUGAUUGAAGGAUCUAAUACAUUGCUUGUUUACAUUUCUACUUAUCAACUGGCUGUUGAACUCAUAUUAUCAUUUACAUUAUUAUUCAACCAGAAAUUCUAUAUGAUUGAUAUCCAUUUUUUGAUCGAUACUAUCAAUAACAUUUUGGUAUAUUUUGUUAUGGAUAUGCUGACAACAAUUAUAUUAACACUUAAUCCACAAUUCUUUCAUUAAUUAAGAAAUGACGUAGGUAUAAAGAAGAAUUGAUUAUCCAACAAUCCCUCAUUCCCUCGUUCCAUCAAUAUUAUUGUAUUCAAUUGUUUAAUAAAGAAAAAGACAAUUGUCAUGUUCAAUGCAAAACUGCUUAAGACUUCGCAUGUUACGACUUUUUUGCCUAUACACUCCAAUGGUAGUUGAGACAUUGGGGAAGCCCUUGUGAACAUGUUGUUGAAAGGUCUCUCUGGUCUGUCAACGUGUGCACUUGCGUCACUACCUUCUCCUUUUCCUUAACGAAAAUUCUACAGAGAAAAAUCCAAGCAAAUGCUGUUCUAUCUAUCUUUCCCAUUCAAAUGAUGUCAUAUCUCACUAUAUCUCACCAAACCCAGUUAUUAACUUAUUAUUACUUUCAUGACCCAAAAAAGAAAAAGUUACUUUUACGUUUUCCGUUUUUUGCUAUACCACUUUUUUGUCAGUAAGGACACAAUUGUACUUUUAUAAAUCCAAACUAACAAACGCCAUAAUGGGCUUACUCAUUGACUAAAAACUAACAAAAAUAUAAAAUCACUUGAGCAAGACCCAAAAGUAUAUAGGGUAUUUAGAAGAUCUUAAUUAGUGCAUUUCCACAUGUAAGCUUAUAAAUAGGACCGAAAUAUAGAAGAAUUCUACAAUAAAUUUUAGGAAAAAUUCAAUUUGUCUUUCAAAAUUAAAAUAAGGAGUUAAAUUCUUAUUACGGAUACUUCUAUGUUUUUUCCACAUUGAGAAACUAAAAAUACAAAUGACACCCACAAAAAAAGUAAAAAUUCAAUUCUUGAGUAGGGCAGCCGCAUGUGAAAUCACACUCGCAAAGAGUUAAGACCCACAUUCAGAGGGUCUCACCCUUAUUUGAGUGCCACCGGUGCCGCGGUCCUGUUUAAGAUUUUUUUCCUAUCAAAAGGUGAAGGUUGCCACAAGUAAAUUAAUGUAUGUAUUUUAUAUCUAGUGGGGAUGAAAAAGUAAGGUGAUCCAUGUUUCUAUAGGAUAUUAUUAUUUACAUUAUUAGUCAAUUAGAGUAGUCACAUCCACACCAGUCUUUGCAUGCGAAACUGCUUACUGCCCUGCAACUGCCUUCACCAAAAUUCUCCCACAAACCCAUUAUUUUCCUUUAAAAUCUUAAAAACAAAAUUUGGUCCCUCUGUCGCCACAAUUUCUAAUUAAUGUUAGAAAACACUAGAAGCAUAUAGGAACAAAAGAAUCAAAAUUUUCUUCUUCGUAUUAUUUAUUUGAAUAUGACCUCAAAAGUCAAAGGCUUUCCAAGAACAUUCACUAUAAAAGAAAAGAAGGCUCCUUCUGUUUAACACACAUCUCAAUUCUCACAGACCGUCCCGUUUCGAAUCUAUCAAUGGCAGAAGCAACAAAGAGGUAGCACUUUAGACUUCAUUAUGCUUUGUUUCCUUGUCCGAUUUCCAAUCCCUUUAAUUGUUUUUGUUUCUAUGAAUUUGGUGUUUGUGUUUUCUUAGGUAUGCGGUUGUUACUGGAGCAAACAAAGGUAUAGGAUUGGAAACUGUAAGGCAGUUGGCCUCAAAUGGGUUCACCGUAGUCUUAACUGCCCGAGAUGAGAAGAGGGGUCUUGAAGCUGUUGAGAAACUCAAAGAGUCUGGCCUCUCAGGUCAAGUGGUUUUUCAUCAACUUGAUGUGGUUGACCCUGCUACUGUUGCUUCUUUGGCAGACUUCAUCAAAACCCAGUUUGGGAAACUCGAUAUCUUGGUAUGUAUAUGAUCAUAGCUACAGGUUUCUUGAAAAAGUUUCUGUCUUUUGAAUCUAACUCUUAAUCCGAAUGCGAUUUAGUUGGAAGCACGGAUACGCUGGUUGAGGUGCGUAUCCCGUAUCCGAUACGCUAGGGGAUACGAUACGCUGUGAAUACGUGCGGAUACCCGAUGGAUACGUAUCCGAGUAAACGGAUACGGUCAAAGACAAAAAGAUACUCGUAUCUGACAUUACAGAUACGAGUAUCUGAUGUUUAGGAUACGCGUAUCAGGAAACGUCUCCACUUCUUCUUUCAGAUCUUCCUUCUUCUUCUUCAUCCAGCAGUGCCCCCACUCAUCAAUUCUUCUUCUUCGUCCUUAAGAAGCCCAGAUCUUCCUUUUUCUUCUUCAUCCAGCGGCGCCCCUACUCAUCAAUUUCUUCUUCUUCAUUCUUCAUUGUCGGCGGCGUCGGGUUCUCUUCUCCAUUUUCAUUUUGUUUUCUCACGCGUGCUUCUCUGUUCUUUUGACAAAAGGAUUUUGUUUUGUUUUUGUCUUUUUUUUUGGUCAAAGGAUUUUGUUUGUUUAAUAUUCACAGUUUCACCCACACCCCACGUGAUGGCUGGUCUUAUCGUUUUGACAAAAGGAUUUUGUUUUGUUUGUCUUAUUAAAAGUAAUAAUAUUAUAACCAAGACAAGUGGAAGUAUGUUAAAAGUAAUAAUAUCAAAAGUAGUUAUUUAAAAUAUGUUAUAAAUUAUAUAUAUUGUUAUUUUUAAAUUAUUAUAUAUUAUUUAAAUUACCGUAUUCACGACGUAUCGUAUCCUAAUUUUUAAAAAUUUAUCGUGUCUCCGUGUGGUGUCGUAUCGUAUUCUCGUAUCCGUAUCCGUGUCCGUGCUAUGAAAUAUGGAAUUGGAAAAUGAAAAUAGCAAACCAAGUAAUAACUAGCUUAGUAAUAUCUUCAACAAGUUAAUCUUUGAAAUAAUUAGAAGUCUUAGGCUUUUUGAAGAACAAAACAAGUUUCACAUAACUACCAGUCUACCACUCUGUUUUUGUUUCUUGGAAUCUUUUGAUAUAUGAUAUGAUCCCUUUCUGUACAAUUUAUAUGUACUCUAGAAAGAUCAGUGGCUGGAGUUACGGGGUUUGGCAAAGUGGCAUAAUUAUUGGGCUUCUUUAAAGGGCAUUGGACUUUAUGGUUAGUUUGGUUUUAACAACAAAGAGAUUGUAAGAGUAAUCAGAGGAUCUAUCAACUUUCUUUUCCUUUCAUUUUCUAUAAAGAUUUUCUGUUCUUUUCUUUGCUAAAAGAAAACAGAUAGUGAAACAGUUGGACUCUGCACAGGUGAACAAUGCAGGGGUUAUUGGAAGCAUAGUAGAUGGUGAUGCUUUUAAAGCUUCUGUAGCCUCCGGUGCCACGGUAAGUCUUUUGCAUAAUUUUUUUAUCAAUAGCUAUCAAAAACUAAAAGCUUCAAUGUAUGUGCCAAAGUGAGAAUUUAAACUGAUCUGUGGUUUGGCAUACUUUAAUCAACGUUUUUCUUGUUUGGGGUGGGUGUGUAAGUGGUGGGCAAUAGGCACCAUAAUAAUAAGUUUGUUUUUGCUGAUACAGGAAAGAGGAGGAGUUGAUUUUAGUAAACUAGUGACUGAAACUUACGAGUUAACAGAAGAAUGCUUGCAAAUAAACUAUUAUGGUGCUAAAAGAACAGCUGAAGCACUUAUCCCACUCCUCCUGUUAUCUGACUCACCGAGAAUUGUUAAUGUUUCUUCUGUCAUGGGGAUGUUAAACAACAUACCAAGCGAUUGGGCUAGAGGAGUUUUUACUGAUGCCGAAAACCUAACAGAAGAGAGAGUAGAUGAGGUACUGACUGAGCUUCUAAAAGAUUUCAAGGAGGGUUCACUUGAAAGUAAGGGCUGGCCUUCUUCUAUGCCUGCCUAUAUAGUCUCAAAAGCAGCACUGAACGCAUAUACAAGGAUUCUAGGAAAGAAGUACCCCACUUUUCGUAUCAAUUCAGUCUGCCCUGGCUUUGUCAAAACAGAUAUAAACUUCAAUGCCGGCGUCUUGCCUGUCGAAGAGGGUGGUGCCAGGAUUGUAAAGUUAGCAUUGCUGCCCAAUGAUGGCCCUACUGGCUCCUUCUUUGUUCACAAUGAAGUGUCAGAUUUUUGAUUGAAGAUGAUCCAUUUAUGCAAAUUUAAUACGAGUCAUUUAUUGGGCAACAUUUGGUACUGUAAUGUAAUUUUAAGUAUUUUGGUAUGUAUAUUGAUUGAAGGAUCUAGUGCAUUGUUUACAUUUCUACUAUUCAUCUGGCUCUUGCACUCAUAUUAUCAUUUACAAUGUUAUUCAGUCAGAAAUUCUAUGUGAUCGAUGUCCGGUAUUAUCGAUAGUAUAUCAAUAACAUUUCGGUAUAUUUUGUUAGACUUAAGUUAGAGACAAUAAUAUUGACAGUCCAUCAUUUAAUUAAGGACGAAGUUUUGAGAAGAAUUGAUUAUUCAAUAUUAUCCAACUUAAAUUGUAAUAGCACAAUCGCAAACUUCUGCAGUCAAUUGUGUAAACGAAGGCAUAGGAUUGGAAACUGUCAGGCAGUUGGCCUCAAAAGGAUUCACUGUAGUCUUAACUGCCAGAGAUGAGAAGAGGGGUCUUGAAGUUGUUGGGAAACUCAAAGAGUCUGGCUCCUCAGGUCAAGUGAUUUUUCAUUAGCUUGAUGUGGCUAACCCAGUAACACAGGAGAAGGUUAAUGUUAAAUUGAGUGGCUGAUAUAUAUCAUGCUUAUUGUGUCCACUUCCAGUUGUGUACACGUACCAAGUACCCUAGAAAGAUCAGUGGCUGGAAUUAAGACCCACAUUCAGAGGACUCUCACCCUUAUUUAAGUGUGCUACCGGUGCGGCAGUUUUAUCGAAGAUUUUUUCCUAUCAAAAGGUGAAAGUUGUCACAAGUAAAUUAAUAUCCAUGUUUCUACUAGGAUAUAUUAGUCAAUUAGAAAUUUUCUGCGCAAGUUGAAAAGUCUUGCAUGCGAAACUGCUUGCCACUGCCACCACCAAAAUUCAACAACGUGAGCACUUGCGUCACCACUACCCCAUUAUUUUCCUUUAAAAUCUUCACAACAAAAUUCCAAACAAGUCUUGGUCCCUCUUUCACCACAAUAUCCAAUUACUGCUAGAAAACACUAGAAGCAUCCUCCCUCCAGUAUGUAAUAGGAACAACAGAACCAACAAUUUUCAUCUUCUUCUUAAUAUUUAUCUUAAUAUAAUCCCCAGAAUUCAAAGGCUUUUCAAGAACAUUUCACUAUAAAAGAGAAGAAGGCUGUUGCUGUUUAAUACACAUCUCAAUUUUCACAGACCGUCCCGUUUCGAAUCUAUCAAUGGCAGAAGUAACAAAGAGGUAGCACUUUAAAGUACUGCUUCCAUAACAAUUUCUCACUAUUUUUUGUGUUAUGAAUUUGGUGUUUGUGUUUUCUCAGGUAUGCAGUUGUUACUGGAGCAAACAAAGGCAUAGGAUUGGAAACUGUGAGGCAAUUGGCCUCAAAUGGAUUCACUGUAGUCUUAACUGCCAGAGAUGAGAAAAGGGGUCUUGAAGCUGUUGAGAAACUCAAAGAAUCUGGCCUCUCUGGUCAAGUGGUUUUUCAUCAACUUGAUGUGGCUAACCCUGCUACUGUUGCUUCCUUGGCAGAGUUCAUCAAAACCCAGUUUGGAAAACUCGAUAUCUUGGUAUGUGUAUGAUCAUAGCUGCAGGUUUCUUGAAAAAGUUUCUGUCUUUUGAAAUAAUUAUAAGUCUUAGGCUUACACAAUAUCCACACAGGUGAAGGUUAUAUUAGAGACUGUAAAAUUGAGUGGCUGAUCCAUAUAUUGCUUGCUUAUUGUGACCACUUCCAGUUGUGGAAGAUGUUACUGUCAAAUCUAACUCUAUGUCUGUCACAUUGUUUUUUCGUUUUUUUUUUUUUUUUUUUGGGUGGAAUUCUUUCCAUAUAUAUGCUAUAUGAUCCCUCUCUGUACAAUUUAGAAGUAACCUAGAAAUAUCAGAGGCUGGAGUUAAGGGGUUUGGGAAAGGCACAAUUAUUAGCCUUUAUGGUUGGUUUGGUUGUAACAACGAAAGAGAUUUAUCCAAGUAAUCAGAGGAUCUACCUUCUUCCAAUUAAUUUCAUUUUCUAGAAAAAAUUUCAGUUCUUUUCUUUGCUAAAAGAACCCAAAUAGUGAAACAGUUGGACUCUGCACAGGUGAACAAUGCAGGGAUUAGUGGACGCCAAGUAGACGGUGAUGCUCUUAAAGCUGUAGUAGACUCUGGUGCCAUGGUAAGUCUUUUGGAUAAUUUUUAUCAAUAGCUAUCAAAAACUAAAAGCUUCAAUAUAUGUGCUUAAUAUGAAUGUAAGUUCUCAUGAUGUCUUCCUCUGUCUUGAAAUAUUUUCAUUGUGAUGUGCAUGUCAAACUUUGAUCACCAUUUUUCUUGUUUGGGAUGGUUGUAAGUGGUUGGCAAUAGCCACCAUAAUAAGUUUGUUCUUACUGAUGCAGGAAAGAGGAGAAGUUGAUUGGAAUAAAUUAAAGAUAGAAACUUAUGAGUUGGCAGAAGAAUGCUUGCAAAUAAACUACUAUGGUGCUAAAAAAACGGCUGAAGCACUUAUCCCACUCCUCCAGUUAUCUGACUCACCGAGAAUUGUUAAUGUUUCCUCUUCCUUGGGGAAGUUAAAGAACAUACCUAGUGAUUGGGCUAAAGGAGUUUUUACUGAUGCUGAUAACCUAACAGAAGAGGGAGUAGUUGAGGUACUGACUGAGCUUCUAAAAGCCUUCAAGGAGGGUUCACUUGAAAGUAAGGGCUGGCCUUCUUCUUUGUCUGCCUAUAUAGUCUCAAAAGCUGCACUAAACGCUUAUACAAGGAUUCUAGCAAAGAAGUACCCCGAUAUUCGUAUCAAUUCGGUAUGCCCCGGCUUUGUCAAAACAGAUCUAAACUCCAAUGCCGGCGUCUUGCCUGUCGAAGAAGGUGGUGCCAGGGUUGUGAGUAUAGCAUUGCUGCCCAAUGAUGGCCCUUCUGGUUCCUUCUUUGUUCAGUAUGAAGUGUCAGAUCUUUGAUUGAAGAUGAUCCAUUUAUGCAAAUUUAAUACAUGUCACUUGUUGGGCAGCAUCUUGAACUUUGAUGUAAUUUAAGUAUAUUUGGAACCAGCAGCGGAUCCUUUUUAUGUUCUUUCUACAUUCAAUAAGAGGAUGGCAUAUAUGAUGCUUAUUGUUGUAGCCAUAUUUAAUUGUGCAACAUUCUCUAUCUAAUAGUCCUCUAUGAUUGCAUCUUUAUGAAAUUAUCUCCCACAUCUGGAAUUGAUUGAAGCAUCUGGUGCAUUGUUUGUUUACAUUUCUACUAUUCAUCUGCCUCUUGAACUCAUGUUAUCAUUUGCAUUGUUAUUCAGUCAGAAAUUCUAUGUGAUUCAUGUUCAUCCUUUGAUCGAUAUUAUUGAUGGUAUAUUGAUAACAUUUAGGUAUAUUUUGUGACAUAUGUCAGAGAAUAAUAUUGACACCUUCUGCAGUCAAUUGUUUAAAAAAACAAAAAGACAACAUAGGUCUCGUUAACAAUUAUGUAAUUUUGGAGCGGUUAAAUUCACCAAUCUUGCCGACGAAACUGCUUCAGCCUUGGCAUGUGGUUGAUGGUUGAGUUAAGCUCUCUCUGCUCUGCCACCACCACCAAAAUGCUUAAACAAUGGGAGCACUUGCGUCACCACCCCCAUUCUUUUCCUUAAUUCUUAAAAGAAAAAUCCAAACAAAUGUUGUUUUCCCAUCAGAUUACUUCUAGGAAACAUUCGACGCAAGCAUCCUCCCUCCAGUAUAGGAACAAACGAGUCUUAACAAUUUUCUUGCUCUUAUUAUUAUUUAUUUGAAUAUCAAACUUGAAAUGUGCAAAGGUUUUCCCACAGACAGACGAUCCCAUAAACGAAUCAGCAAUGGCAGAAGCAAGAAAGAGGUGGCACCUUAGAGUCCAUACCCUUUGAUUACUUCUAUAACAAUUUCUCACUCUUGUUUUUGUUUCCUUUUUGCUUUCCUAUUUUUGUUAUGAAAUUGGUGUUUCUUCUUUUGUUUUUCCAGGUAUGCAGUUGUUACUGGGGCAAACAAAGGCAUAGGAUUGGAAACUGUCAGGCAGUUGGCCUCAAAAGGAUUCACUGUAGUCUUAACUGCCAGAGAUGAGAAGAGGGGUCUUGAAGCUGUUGAGAAAUUCAAAGAAUCUGGCCUCUCAGGUCAAGUGGUUUUUCAUCAACUUGAUGUGGCUAACCCUGCUAGUCUUGCUCCUUUGGCAGACUUCAUCAAAACCCAGUUUGGGAAACUCGAUAUCUUGGUAUGUAUGAUCAUAGCUACAGGGUUAAUGUAAAAUUGAGUGAUCUAUAUCAUGCUUAUUGUGUCCACUUCCAGUUGUGGAAGAUUUUACUUUGAAGUCUAAAUCUAACUCUAACUAUAUGAAAGAUCAGUGACUGGAAUUAAGUGGUGUGACAAAGUAGCAUACUUAUUGGCCUUCUUUGAAGAGCACUGGUUGGUUAUAGCAGAUAGUUUAUCCAAGUAAUCAAAGCAUCUACCAACUUUCUUUUAAUUCCAUCUUGUAGAUGUUUUUUUCUUUGCUUUUGUUUGCAAAAGUAAAACAAGUAGUGAAACAGUUGGACUCUGCACAGGUGAACAAUGCAGGGAUUGGUGGAAGCACAGCGGAUCCUGAUGCCUUUAGAGCUGUAGUAGAGUCUGGUGCCUUUGUAAGUCUUUCAGAUAAUUCUUAUCAAUAGCUACCAAAAACUUAAAGCUUUAAUGUAUGUGUUUAAUGUGAAAAUUUAAAUUGAUCUGUGGUUUGGCUUAAUGCUAUGGCAAUUAGUAGGGGAAAUGAUCUGUGUAACAUCACCAGGCUGGUAUGAUUCGGGUGGGUGUGUAAGUAGUUGGCAAUAGCCACCGUAAUAAGUUUGUUCUUACUGAUGCAGGGAAGAGGAGAAGUUGAUUGGAGUAAACUAAGUACUGAAACUUAUGAGUUGGCAGAAGAAUGCUUGCAGAUAAACUAUUAUGGUGCUAAAAGAACAGCUGAAGCACUUAUCCCACUCCUCCAGUUAUCCGAUUCACCGAGAAUUGUUAAUGUUUCGUCUUUCAUGGGGAAGUUAAACAACAUACCGAGCGGUUGGGCUAAAGUAGUUUUUACUGAUGCAGAAAACCUAACAGAAGAGAGACUAGAUGAGGUACUGACUGAGCUUUUAAAAGCCUUCAAGGAGGGUUCACUUGAAAGUAAGGGCUUUCCUUCUUCUUUGUCAGCCUAUAUAGUCUCAAAAGCUGCACUGAACGCAUAUACUAGGAUUCUAGCAAAGAAGUACCCCACUUUUCGUAUCAAUUCGUUAUGCCCUGGCUUUGUCAAAACAGAUAUAAACUACAAUGUCGGUGUCCUACCUGUCGAAGAAGGGGCUGCAAGGGUUAUGAAGUUAGCAUUGCUGCCCAAUGAUGGCCCUUCUGGCUCCUUCUUUGUUGAGUACGAAGUGUCAGAUUUUUAAUUGAAGAUGAUCCGUUUAUGCAAAUUAAAUACAUGUCAUUUAUUUGGCAGAAUCUUGAAUUUCUAAUGUAACAAAGUGUAUUUGGACCCAGCACCAGAUCCCUUUUAAGUUCUUUCUACAUUCAAUAUGACUCGAGGACAACAUACAAUAGUCUUGUAUGAUUGCAUCUUUGUGAAAUUAUCUUCCACAUAUGGAAUUGAUUGAAGGAUCUAAUACAUUGCUUGUUUACAUUUCUACUUAUCAACUGGCUGUUGAACUCAUAUUAUCAUUUACAUUAUUAUUCAACCAGAAAUUCUAUAUGAUUGAUAUCCAUUCUUUGAUCGAUACUAUCAAUAACAUUUUGGUAUAUUUUGUUAUGGAUAUGCUGACAACAAUUAUAUUAACACUUAAUCCACAAUUCUUUCAUUAAUUAAGAAAUGACGUAGGUAUAAAGAAGAAUUGAUUAUCCAACAAUCCCUCAUUCCCUCGUUCCAUCAAUAUUAUUGUAUUCAAUUGUUUAAUAAAGAAAAAGACAAUUGUCAUGUUCAAUGCAAAACUGCUUAAGACUUCGCAUGUUACGACUUUUUUGCCUAUACACACCAAUGGUAGUUGAGACAUUGGGGAAGCCCUUGUGAACAUGUUGUUGAAAGGUCUCUCUGGUCUGUCAACGUGUGCACUUGCGUCACUACCUUCUCCUUUUCCUUAACGAAAAUUCUACAGAGAAAAAUCCAAGCAAAUGCUGUUCUAUCUAUCUUUCCCAUUCAAAUGAUGUCAUAUCUCACUAUAUCUCACCAAACCCAGUUAUUAACUUAUUAUUACUUUCAUGACCCAAAAAAGAAAAAGUUACUUUUACGUUUUCCGUUUUUUGCUAUACCACUUUUUUGUCAGUAAGGACACAAUUGUACUUUUAUAAAUCCAAACUAACAAACGCCAUAAUGGGCUUACUCAUUGACUAAAAACUAACAAAAAUAUAAAAUCACUUGAGCAAGACCCAAAAGUAUAUAGGGUAUUUAGAAGAUCUUAAUUAGUGCAUUUCCACAUGUAAGCUUAUAAAUAGGACCGAAAUAUAGAAGAAUUCUACAAUAAAUUUUAGGAAAAAUUCAAUUUGUCUUUCAAAAUUAAAAUAAGGAGUUAAAUUCUUAUUACGGAUACUUCUAUGUUUUUUCCACAUUGAGAAACUAAAAAUACAAAUGACACCCACAAAAAAAGUAAAAAUUCAAUUCUUGAGUAGGGCAGCCGCAUGUGAAAUCACACUCGCAAAGAGUUAAGACCCACAUUCAGAGGGUCUCACCCUUAUUUGAGUGCCACCGGUGCCGCGGUCCUGUUUAAGAUUUUUUUCCUAUCAAAAGGUGAAGGUUGCCACAAGUAAAUUAAUGUAUGUAUUUUAUAUCUAGUGGGGAUGAAAAAGUAAGGUGAUCCAUGUUUCUAUAGGAUAUUAUUAUUUACAUUAUUAGUCAAUUAGAGUAGUCACAUCCACACCAGUCUUUGCAUGCGAAACUGCUUACUGCCCUGCAACUGCCUUCACCAAAAUUCUCCCACAAACCCAUUAUUUUCCUUUAAAAUCUUAAAAACAAAAUUUGGUCCCUCUGUCGCCACAAUUUCUAAUUAAUGUUAGAAAACACUAGAAGCAUAUAGGAACAAAAGAAUCAAAAUUUUCUUCUUCGUAUUAUUUAUUUGAAUAUGACCUCAAAAGUCAAAGGCUUUCCAAGAACAUUCACUAUAAAAGAAAAGAAGGCUCCUUCUGUUUAACACACAUCUCAAUUCUCACAGACCGUCCCGUUUCGAAUCUAUCAAUGGCAGAAGCAACAAAGAGGUAGCACUUUAGACUUCAUUAUGCUUUGUUUCCUUGUCCGAUUUCCAAUCCCUUUAAUUGUUUUUGUUUCUAUGAAUUUGGUGUUUGUGUUUUCUUAGGUAUGCGGUUGUUACUGGAGCAAACAAAGGUAUAGGAUUGGAAACUGUAAGGCAGUUGGCCUCAAAUGGGUUCACCGUAGUCUUAACUGCCCGAGAUGAGAAGAGGGGUCUUGAAGCUGUUGAGAAACUCAAAGAGUCUGGCCUCUCAGGUCAAGUGGUUUUUCAUCAACUUGAUGUGGUUGACCCUGCUACUGUUGCUUCUUUGGCAGACUUCAUCAAAACCCAGUUUGGGAAACUCGAUAUCUUGGUAUGUAUAUGAUCAUAGCUACAGGUUUCUUGAAAAAGUUUCUGUCUUUUGAAUCUAACUCUUAAUCCGAAUGUGAUUUAGUUGGAGGAGAUGAAAUAUGGAAUUGGAAAAUGAAAAUAGCAAACCAAGUAAUAACUAGCUUAGUAAUAUCUUCAACAAGUUAAUCUUUGAAAUAAUUAGAAGUCUUAGGCUUUUUGAAGAACAAAACAAGUUUCACAUAACUACCAGUCUGCCACUCUGUUUUUGUUUCUUGGAAUCUUUUCAUAUAUGAUAUGAUCCCUUUCUGUACAAUUUAUAAGUACCCUAGAAAGAUCAGUGGCUGGAGUUACGGGGUUUGGCAAAGUGGCAUAAUUAUUGGGCUUCUUUAAAGGGCAUUGGCCUUUAUGGUUAGUUUGGUUUUAACAACAAAGAGAUUGUAAGAGUAAUCAGUGGAUCUAUCAACUUUCUUUUCCUUUCAUUUUCGAUUUUCUGUUCUUUUCUUUGCUAAAAGAAAACAGAUAGUGAAACAGUUGGACUCUGCACAGGUGAACAAUGCAGGGGUUGGUGGAAGCAUAGUAGAUGGUGAUGCUUUUAAAGCUUCUGUAGCCUCCGGUGCCACGGUAAGUCUUUUGUAUAAUUUUUUAUCAAUAGCUAUCAAAAACUAAAAGCUUCAAUGUAUGUGCCAAAGUGAGAAUUUAAACUGAUCUGUGGUUUGGCAUACUUUAAUCAACGUUUUUCUUGUUUGGGGUGGGUGUGUAAGUGGUGGGCAAUAGGCACCAUAAUAAUAAGUUUGUUUUUGCUGAUACAGGAAAGAGGAGGAGUUGAUUUUAGUAAACUAGUGACUGAAACUUAUGAGUUAACAGAAGAAUGCUUGCAAAUAAACUAUUAUGGUGCUAAAAGAACAGCUGAAGCACUUAUCCCACUCCUCCAGUUAUCUGACUCACCGAAAAUUGUUAAUGUUUCUUCUGUCAUGGGGAUGUUAAACAACAUACCAAGCGAUUGGGCUAGAGGAGUUUUUACUGAUGCCGAAAACCUAACAGAAGAGAGAGUAGAUGAGGUACUGACUGAGCUUCUAAAAGAUUUCAAGGAGGGUUCACUUGAAAGUAAGGGCUGGCCUUCUUCUAUGCCUGCCUAUAUAGUCUCAAAAGCAGCACUGAACGCAUAUACAAGGAUUCUAGCAAAGAAGUACCCCACUUUUCGUAUCAAUUCAGUCUGCCCUGGCUUUGUCAAAACAGAUAUAAACUACAAUGUCGGUGUCCUACCUGUCGAAGAAGGGGCUGCAAGGGUUAUGAAGUUAGCAUUGCUGCCCAAUGAUGGGCCUUCUGGUUCCUUCUUUGUUCAGUAUGAAGUGUCAGAUCUUUGAUUGAAGAUGAUCCAUUUAUGCAAUUUUAAUACAUAUCACUUGUUGGGCAGCAUCUUGAACUUUGAUGUAAUUUAAGUAUAUUUGGAACCAGCAGCAGAUCCUUUUUAAGUUCUUUCUACAUUCAAUAUGACUCGAGGACGACAUAAAAUAGUCCUGUAUGAUUGCAUCUCUGUGAAAUUAUUUUCCACAUCUUGAGUUGAUUGAAGGAUCUAAUACAUUGCUUGUUUACAUUUCUACUUAUCAACCGGCUCUUGAACCCAUAUUAUCGUUUACAUUAUUAUUCAACCAGAAAUUCUAUGUGAUUGAUAUCCCUCCUUUAAUCGAUACUAUCAAUAACAUUUUAGUAUAUUUUGUUAUAGAUAUGUUGGCAACAAUUAUAUUAAUCCUUUAUCGACAAUCUGUCAUUAAUUAAGAAAUAACAUAGGUAUUAAUUAAGAAAUAACAUAGGUAUAGAGAAGAAUUGAUUAUCCAACAAUCCGUCAAUCUGUCAAUCCAUCAAUAUUAUUGUAUUCAAUUGUUGAAUAAAGAAAAAUGACAAUUGGCAUGUUCAAUGCAAAACUACUUACGACUUUGCAUGUUACGACUUUUUUGCCUAUAUACUCCAACGGUGGCUGAGCCCCUUUUAGGGGCCCCACUGGGGAAGCCCUUGUGAACAUGUUGUUGAAAGGUCUCUCUGGUCUGUCAACGUGUGCACUUGCGUCACUACCUUCAUACUUUUCCUUAAUACUCCAAGCAAAUGUUGUUCCAUCUUUCCCAUUCAAUGACUUCUAGAAAACAUUACAGGCAAGCAUUCUUUCUCCAGUAUAGGAACAAACGGCUUUUCAAGAACAUUUUACUAUAAAACAAAAGAAGCCUCCUUCUGUUUAGUCUCACUUCUCACAGACCGUCCAAUUAUCGAAUCAUCAAUGGCAGAAGCAACAAGGAGGUAGCACUUUAGAGUCCUUUAUGCUUUGGUUCCUUGUCACAUCUCCAUUCCCUCUCAUUGUUUCUGCUUAUCAUUUUUGUGUUACGAAUUUGGUGUUUUUGUUUUUCCAGGUAUGCAGUUGUUACUGGGGCAAACAAAGGCAUAGGAUUGGAAACUGUGAGGCAAUUGGCCUCAAAUGGAUUCACUGUAGUCUUAACUGCCAGAGAUGAGAAAAGGGGUCUUGAAGCUGCUGAGAAACUCAAAGAGUCUGGCCUCUCAGGUCAAGUGGUUUUUCAUCAACUUGAUGUGGCUGACCCUGCUACUGUUGCUUCCUUGGCAGAGUUCAUCAAAACCCAGUUUGGGAAACUCGAUAUCUUGGUAUGUGUAUGAUCAUAGCUGCAGGUUUCUUGAAAAAGUUUUGGUCUUUUGAAAUAAUUAGAAGUCUCAGGCUUACACAAUAUCCACACAGGUGAAGGUUACAUUAGAGACUGUAAAAUUGAUCAUAUCAUGCUUGCUUAUUGUGUCCACUUCCAGUUGUGGGAGAUUUUACUUUCAAGUCUAACUAUAAGAUAUGAACCCUCUGUACAAUUUACAAGUACCCUAGAAAGAUCAGUGGCUGGAGUUAAGGGAUUUGGCAAUGCCUUGAUGGUUGGUUAUAGAACCAUAUAGAUUAUCUUAGUAACCCGAGGAUGUACCAACUUCUUUUAAUUGCAUUUUCUACAAUUUUCUUUUCUUUGCUAAAUUAAAAUAGGUAGUGAGACAGUGGUUUCUGCACAGGUGAACAAUGCAGGGAUUGGUGGAGCCAUAGGAGAUGCUGAUGCCUUUACAGCUUUAGUGAAGUCUUUCGACAUGGUAAGUCUUUCGAAUUAAUUUUUUCAAUAGCUAUCAAAACCUAAAAGUUUCAAUGUAUGGCUUGAAAAUUUUUCAUUGUGAUGUUCAUGUCAAACUUUGAUCAACAUUUUUCUUGUUUGUGGUGGCUGUGGGCUAUAGGACCAUAACAAUAAGUUCGUUCUUACCGAUACAGGGGAGAGGAGAAAUUGGUAGUAAACUAAUGACUGAAACUUAUGAGUUAACAGAAGAAUGCUUGCAAAUAAACUAUUAUGGUGCUAAAAGAACAGCUGAAGCACUUAUCCCACUCCUCCAGUUAUCUGACUCACCGAGAAUUGUUAACGUUUCGUCUUUCCUGGGGAAGUUAAUGCAUAUACCAAGCGAUUGGGCUAGAGGAGUUUUUACUGAUGCUGAAAACCUAACAGAAGAGAGAGUAGAUGAGGUACUGACCGAGCUUCUAAAAGAUUUCAAGGAGGGUUCACUUGAAAGUAAGGGCUGGCCUUCUCCUUCGUCUGCCUAUGUAGUCUCGAAAGCUGCACUGAACGCAUAUACAAGGAUUCUAGCAAAGAAGUACCCCACUUUUCGUAUCAAUUCGUUAUGCCCUGGCUUUGUCAAAACAGAUAUAAACUACAAUGCCGGUGUCCUACCUGUCAAAGAUGGGGCUGCAAGGGUUAUGAAGUUAGCAUUGCUGCCCAAUGAUGGCCCUUCUGGCUCCUUCUUUGUUCACUAUGAAGUGUCAGAUUUUUAAUUGAAGAUGAUUGUUGUGAAAUUUAUUGCAAGCGCACAAUUCGCACAAGUAAUACAGUGAUGAGUGAAGUGUCGUUCCCACGAAGAGUGAUUUAAUUUACUAAGUACCGAUUGUGAGAAAAAUAAAAGCAAGCGUAGAGAAAUAAAGUAGUGAGAUUCAAGUUAUGAGAGCACUAGAGCUUCCGAUUUCACCAUAGCCAAUUUUACCCAAUUCCCUUAGCAUGUUAAUCCUAAUUAUUCUCUAUGUAGACAGUUGAUUUUCCCUACUUUAUUCGAUACUCCAUCCCUGGUUAUAUCAAAAGUAUUCUUAUUACCAACCCACUCUAUCCCUAGUAAUGGAAUUAAGAUAAUAAGAACCCAUUAAAUUCCUUGGAAACCCUACAAAACAACCACAUAAGUCACGACAAACAUCCAUGUCUAAUCAUGUAACUCAUGGCAUCUAUUACAAGAAGCAACCCCAAAUUGGAUAUCCCUGUCGUCAAUUUAGCAUCAAAACAAUUAAAUGUUGGCCAAACAUUCAAAGCAUUAAGCAUGGUACUCAACAUGGAAAAAUACUUGGAAUUAACAUUGACUAAAGUAAUUGAGUAUUCAUGGCUAGGCUACAUCGUAGCACUGGUAAGAAGAAAUUAGUUCAUGAAAACUUUAAUAAAAACCAUGAUAAAUAGUAUCAUAGGAAAGAAAAAAACCAAUUGAAGAUUUGAUCUCUGCACGACACCAACUCUAGCUCCAGGUCGUCUUCUUUGUCUCUCUAAAACUCUCUCUCCUUUGAGUGUUUCGGCUAUAAGUAUGAAUGUGUAGGAAUUUGUGAGGCUAGAUGAUGGAGGAUGGUGGGUAAUGGAUUCUUUGAACAAUGACCUAAACUCCCUAUUUAUAAAACUCUUAGGAAUCCUACCUAAUGAAUAAUUACAAUUGUUAUAAAAAUAGGAUUCCUUCUAAUAUAAGGUCUUCUUUAUUCCUCCUUGUUUGACUUGAUAAGACUUGAACCAUCUUGAACUAAGAAAUUUGACAACAUUCCUUGCAACAAAAGGAAUGACUUGGCUUCUUUUUAAUUGAUCUCCAAUCUUCAUCUUCUUGCCUUUUUUUAGCACACUUUCUCCUAUUUCAUAAUUCCUUCACAAAUCUCACAAAACCAAUUAAAAACAACUAAUUUAAUCCAAGAAAUUAAUAAAUAAAUAAGCAAAUGAGGCAUAAAAUAUAUAUAUAUAAAAUAUAGACUUAUCAAUGAUCCAUUUAUGCAAAUUAAAUACAUGUAAUGUAUUUGGCAGGAUCUUUAACUUUUAAUGUAACAAAGUAUAUUUGUGACAGGACCCGCCCCGAAUUUUCCGAAAUUCUAGAUGAAUCCUGUGGAAUUCCCGACAUCACCCCGAUGCCGAGCCCACUUACUAAGGACCGGGACUUUCUGCCGAAAUUUCAGCAGAGUCUCCCUUGUAAAUUGAUCAUUCCCCAAAUUUUUUAACCUGUAUAAAACACAUUUGAUAUCCACAACUGGCAGCAUGCACAAGAUAAUUUCAUGCAAAUCACAUAAUCGGCCUCCGGCCUUCAAAUAAUUCGAAACUAAACCACCAACAAACUCUAAACACAAUUAUGAACGCCAAAUGCGAUUUCCAUCAUCUAAAUUCCCAAAUAUUGAACGUACAAAAUUAAACCUCCUAACAAGACUACAUCUCAUUUUCACCUAAAUUUCAGGACCAACAAGAAAGUCCAAACCAAUCUUCAUCACACAACAUGAGUAAAGUUUAGCCCGCGGCUGUACCUAGGCACUACCCUAGGCUGCCUACGUACCCUUACUAAGGGAUCAAGCCACACGUAGUUCUUUCCAUACAAAAUUUCCAAAUCCAUCAACAUGCAAUCAAUUCUAGAAAUCCCCGCCCGAAAAUCCUACGCCACGUGUGACUUAACCAUCAUGUCAUCUCCCCAUACGCCGGAAAUUCCAACGCCACGUAUGGGAUUUGUCUUAACGUCGGAAAAUCCUACGACAAGCGAGACCUAACAAUCACAUAAUCUCCCCAUAUGCCGGAAAUUCCAACGCCACAUAUGGGGUCUGUUAGCACGCCGGAUAACCUAUGCCACGUGUGACCUAACAAUCAUAGCAUCUCCCCAUACGCCAGAAAUUCCAACGCCAUGUAUGGGGUCUGUCCUCACGCCGGAUAACCUACGCCACGUGGGACCUAACAAUCACAUAAUCUCCUCAUAUGCCGAAAAUUACAACGCCACAUAUGGGGUCUGUCAGCAUGCCGGAUAACCUACGCCACGUGUGACCUAACAAUCAUAGCAUCUCCUCAUACGCGCGGAAAUUCCAACGCCACAUAUGGGGUUUGUCCUUACGCUGGAUAACCUACGUCACGUGGGACCUAACAAUCACAGGGUAAUACUUAGGGUAGUGUGUAUAGCACUUCAAACUGACAUACUCUCAAUUAUCUAAACUAAUACUAGAGGUAUUCCCACUUUAGUGAUACCAGUCUAUAGUAGACUGCAACGUAAUUUAAUCAGGAAAGUAAUAUUAUUUUUAGACCAAUGAUCAUGCACAUAAACAUAAAUUUCAUAAUUUCAAUUAUUAAAACAAUAUCUAAGAGUUUCCUACAAUAAUAAUAAACACUCUAAAAAAUCUCAACCUAGUCAACAUAGCUCAACAACGCUCAAGACCUGUCACUAGGGUCAUUAUAAUCCUUCUAGGAAGGUAAAACUACCUCCGAAGACUCACGGUCAACCAAGGGUCAAACUACCCAAACUUGGUCAAAUGGGCCCACGGGGCCCAUGACCUCCAAAUUCCGAUCCUAAAGUUCCUAUGUGUUCUACAAGGCUUAUGACACAUGUUCUGCAAUCUGGACCAAACUUGCAGAACGUCCGGGGUUCCGAUUCACACAUAAACUUUAAGUUAUUAAAUCGGAACAUCCGGGGCUCCGAUUCACGAUCCAUGAAUUCCUACACGAUCCUAGAAAUUCCUAGGUUAACACAUAUCAAAUUCGAGACCAUCCAAAGGUCCAAACCUAUCGAGCCCGGAUAACACGCAAUAGGCGAUAUCCGUUCGAGACUCAAACGGUAUCCAAAUUGAAAUCCGAGCACACCUACGCACUCGUGAGGACCGGGAGAUUACAUCGGGAUAUAGUGCCCUUUUUCUACAGUGCCCACUCGCCGCCGCACGCGCCGGCAGCGCGUGGGUGCCCAAAGCGAUUACGCAUCGCUGAAAAAUCCCAAAACCACGGCUCCAAACUCCUACCCUAGGUAUAUUUGGAACCACUUUUGUUCUGGACCUACCCCAAAAACUGACCGGAAGUGGCCGGAAUCGCGAUCCCAAAAUCGGCCGAACCCUAAAUCCAAAAUCGAACGACUUAGGCUAAAAAUAAAUGUAAUCCUGCCCAACCAUCAGCUAGAGCAUGGAACAUAGGUAGAAAUCCAUGCCUUACUCGUCAAAUUUGGAGGAAAAAUGAGGGAGAACUAACGGUUUGAAAAUCUGUGAAAACCGACUCGUUUUCUGCAGAUUCCGGCGGCUAGAGUGGCUAACGGAGGCAGAGACCGGGUGGGAUGAGAAGAGGAGGAGGUGGCAGUUCGAACAAGACUGGUCUCGAGGCCGGUUGUUGACGAUGGCGACGGCAGUGGCUCUUGGAAGCCACGGCUGUGCAGAAAACAGAAGGUAGGAAGGUCACUACGCGCGCAGGGAGAGAGAGAGAGAGAGAGAGAGAGAGAGAGAGAGAGAGAGAGAGAGAGAGAGAGAGAGAGAGAGAGAGAGAGAGAAAAUCUGGUUUUUAAAAACCAACUUCAAAAUAUUUACAGUUUUGCCACUGAGCUUGUUUUGCUCGUAACUUCUUCGUUACAACUCCAAAUCGAGUCCACCACAUGUCUACGGACUGACCUCACCGUGCUCUACGCAACGGUAUAGUCGAAAUUCUCAAAUUCCUUCCCGGUCAAAAAGUAAACUUUAGACCUAAUAAAAUAUUUUAGGGGCAAAAUGGUAUUUUCUUUGAAUAAAUUAGUAUUUACUAAUUUAUUUAGGACCGGGUCGAUACAAUUUGGACCCAGCAACAGAUCCUUUUUAAGUUCUUUCUACAUUCAACAUGACUCGAGGAUGGCAUAGAUUCAAUAGUCCUGUAUGAUUGCAUCUCUAAUACAUUGCUUGUUUACAUUUCUACUUAUCAACUGACUCUUGAACCCAUAUUAUCAUUUACAUUAUUAUAAUCAGAAAUUCUAUGUGAUUGGUGUCCAUCCUUUGAUCAAAAUGAUCAAUAUCAUUUCGGUAUAUACUUCUUAUGGACAUGUUGACAACAAUUAUAUUAACAUGUUAUUGACAAUCCGUUAUUAAUUAAGAAAUGACAUAGGUGUACAGAAGAAUUGAACAUUCAAUUGUUUGUUUAAUAAAGAAAAAGACAACAUGAGUCUCUUUAACAAUCAUGUUUUUGGAUUGGAGCAGCCUAAUUCACCAAUGAUCAUGCACAUAAACAUAAAUUUCAUAAUUUGAACAACUUGGGCACUUGCGUCACUAUCCCCCUCUUUUUCCUUAAUACUCCGAAACAAAAAUCCGAGCAAAUGUUGGUCCAUCUGUCCCAUUCAAUGACUUCUAGAAAGCAUUAUAGGAACAAACGAAUCGAUUUGAAUAUAAUACUCAAAAUACAAAAGCUUCCCAACAACUUCACGUUAUAAAAGAAAAUAAAGAUCCUUCUGUUUAGUCUCAUUUCUUACCCCUGCUUUUUUCCGAGAAAGAUACAUUUAGGCUUUUAUUAUCUUCUUAUUCAUUCAUAUCGUGGAUGUAGACAUUGCUUGUCACGUGCGUGCGUACGUCUCCAUAAUUGACUUGAGGCUAGCUUUUCAAUUACUCAUGUAGAAUUUUUUUUUUUCAAGUGCCCAUAGAGAUAAGACUUCCAUAUAUGGGGCUCACCUCAAUUAAAAAUGUAGUUAGUAAAGUGGUACACGAUUGUUUUUAUAUAUGCUCAGAUAUUUAAUUUUACAAAAAUAAUGCAUCCAACUAACUCAACCAAAAAAGUUGCAUCCAAUUAAUUAUGUUCUUAGAAUAUCGAUACAAAAUAAAUUAGGUGUUAAAAAGAUAUUUAUUUUUGCAAAAAUAAUGCAUCCAACUAACUCAACUAAAAAAGUUGCAUCCAAUUAAUGAUGUUCUUGGAAUAUUGAUACAAAAUAAAUUAGGUGUUACAAAGAUAUUUAUUUUUGCAAAAAUAAUGCAUCCAACUAACUCAACCAAAAAAGUUGCAUCCAAUUAAUGUUGUUCUUGGAAUAUUGAUACAAAAUAAAUUAGGUGUUAAAAAAUAUUUAAUAUCUAAAUAUGAUCUAUUACGACUUAUCGUCACAAUCAUGGUAAUUAUUCAAAAGGUGUAACAUCCCUUAUACAAUUUAAUCGAUUUAAUCAAAUUUAAUUCUUUUGUGAAAUUUCAAUUUUGCCCUUGGGAGUAGGGGUACUUUGGUCACUUUAAGAAAAAAAAAACAUUUAUUGUAUGGUAUUACGUAAUGAUGUAAGUUUGUGUUAUUUUAUGUGAGGCCCCAAUUUAAGGUUAGCACAGGGCCCUCAAAAUCUCAAGACCGGCCCUGGGCCCCGUUGGGGAAGCCCUUGUGAACAUGUUGUUGAAAGGGCUCUCUGGUCUGUCAACGUGUGCAGUUGCGUCACUACCUUCAUCCUUUUCCUUAACACUCCAAGCAAAUGUUGUUCCGUCUUUCCCAUUCAAUGACUUCUAGAAAACAUUACAGGCAGGCACUCUUUUCUUUCUCCAGAAUAGGAACAAACGGCUUUUCAAGAACAUUUUACUAUAAAACAAAAGAAGCCUCCUUCUGUUUAGUCUCAUUUCUCACAGACCGUCCCAUAUCGAAUCAUCAAUAUGGCAGAAGCACCAAAGAGGUAGCACUUUAGAGUCCUUUAUGCUUUGGUUCCUUGUCACACCUCCAUUCCCUCUCAUUGUUUCUGCUUAUCAUUUUUGUGUCAUGAAUUUGGUGUUUUUGUUUUUUCCAGGUAUGCAGUUGUUACUGGGGCAAACAAAGGCAUAGGAUUGGAAACUGUGAGGCAAUUGGCCUCAAAUGGAUUCACUGUAGUCUUAACUGCCAGAGAUGAGAAAAGGGGUCUUGAAGCUGCUGAGAAACUCAAAGAGUCUGGCCUCUCAGGUCAAGUGGUUUUUCAUCAACUUGAUGUGGCUAACCCUGCUACUGUUGCUUCCUUGGCAGAGUUCAUCAAAACCCAGUUUGGGAAACUCGAUAUCUUGGUAUGUGGAAGAUUUUACUUUCAAAUCUAACUAUAUGAUAUGAACCCUCUGUACAAUUUACAGGUACCCUAGAAAGAUCAGUGGCUGGAGUUAAGGGAUUUGGCAAUGCCUUGAUGGUUGGUUAUAGAACCAAAUAGAUUAUCGAAGUAACCCGAGGAUCUACCAACUUUCUUUUAAUUGCAUUUUCUACAUUUUUCUUUUCUUUUCUAAAUUAAAAUAGAUAGUGAGACAGUUGGCUCUGCACAGGUGAACAAUGCAGGGAUUGGUGGAGCCAUAGGAGAUGCUGAUGGCUAUAUAGCUUUAGUAAAGUCUUUGGAAAUGGUAAGUCUUUCGAAUUAAUUUUUUCAAUAGCUAUCAAAACCUAAAAGGUUCAAUGUGUGGCUAUAAUGUGGAUUUGGGAGUGUGCUAUUUUGCCUCUGCGCCUAUCUGGAUUAGCUCCUUCUUGAUUGAUGAUAUGUUAGGGGUUGUUAGAACCCUUUAGUUUGUGCUGACAGUUUGUAGUCUGUUUGUUUUGGGGUUUGAUCCCCCACUAGUUCAUAAAAUAAAAAAAUAAAAAAAAAGCUUCAAUGUAUGUGCUAAUGUGAAAAUUUCAAUUGAUCUCUGGUUUGGCCAAAGAUCUGUUUCGCUUAAUGCUUUGCUGUUUUUAGUAGGGGAAAUGAUCUGAUUAAUUGAUUUAGGAUUUUUCCAAUAAGCUGCUACCUUUCUGGAUUUACUUAUCUCACCUGAUAAAUCUUUCUGCACUCUAUCCAUAAUUUUUUUUUUGAAGCCCUUUGCUAUAAAUAAAAUAAAUUAUGCACAUAAGUUGUCAUGCUUUCUUCCUCUCUAGCUUGAAAAUGUUUUAUUGUGAUGUGCCAAACUUUGAUCAACAUUUUUCUUGUUUGUGGUGGGUGUGGGCUAUAGAGACCAUAAUAAUAAGUCUGUUCUUACUGAUACAGGGGAGAGGAGAAGUUGGUAGUAAACUAUGGACUGAAACUUAUGAGUUAACAGAAGAAUGCUUGCAAAUAAACUAUUAUGGUGCUAAAAGAACAGCUGAAGCACUUAUCCCACUUCUCCAGUUAUCUGACUCACCGAGAAUUGUUAAUGUUUCGUCUUUCCUGGGGAAGUUAAUGCAUAUACCAAGCCAUUGUGCUAAAGGAGUUUUUACAGAUGCCGAAAACCUAACAGAAGAAAGAAUAGAUGAUGUACUGAGUGAGCUUCUAAAAGACUUCAAGGAGGGUUCACUUGAAAGUAAGGGCUGGCCUUCUUCUUUGUCUGCCUAUGUAGUCUCAAAAGCUGCACUGAACGCAUAUACAAGGAUUCUAGCAAAGAAGUACCCCACUUUUCGUAUCAAUUCGUUAUGCCCUGGCUCUGUCAAAACAGAUAUAACCUACAAUGCCGGUUUCCUACCUGUCGAAGAAGGGGCUGCAAGGGUUAUGAAGUUAGCAUUGCUGCCCAAUGAUGGCCCUUCUGGCUCCUUCUUUGUUCAGUAUGAAGUGUCAGAUUUUUAAUUGAAGAUGAUCCAUUUAU